RNAcentral lists this ribosomal RNA (798 nucleotides) under Klebsiella oxytoca 10-5245. RNAcentral's name for it is "partial 23S ribosomal RNA". The record is from RNAcentral. Lineage: Bacteria; Pseudomonadati; Pseudomonadota; Gammaproteobacteria; Enterobacterales; Enterobacteriaceae.
UGAAGUGGAAAAAGCGCACCCGGAUGUCUUUAACAUUCUGCUGCAGGUGCUGGAUGAUGGACGUUUGACCGAUGGGCAGGGGAGAACGGUCGACUUCCGUAAUACGGUGGUCAUCAUGACUUCUAACCUUGGCUCCGACCUUAUUCAGGAACGCUUUGGGGCACUGGAUUAUGGCCAUAUGAAGGAGAUGGUGCUGGGCGUGGUUAGUCAAAGCUUCCGUCCAGAGUUUAUCAACCGUAUUGACGAAGUGGUUGUCUUCCAUCCGCUGGGUGAAAAACAUAUUGCUUCUAUCGCGCAGAUUCAGCUGCAGCGGUUGUAUAAACGACUUGAGGAACGCGGCUACGAAGUCCACAUGUCUGAUGAAGCGCUGAAAUUGCUGAGCGAAAAUGGAUACGAUCCUGUUUAUGGCGCACGUCCUCUGAAACGUGCUAUCCAGCAACAGAUCGAAAACCCGCUGGCGCAGCAGAUCCUCUCCGGUGAAUUGAUACCGGGUAAAGCAGUGCAACUGGUUGUGAAAGAUGACCGGAUAGUGGCAGUGCAGUAAAUCACAAAACAGCAAAAACGGGCCCCUGGGGCUCGUUUUUGUUUAAAAACCAGGCAAUAAUCUCUUUCCUGCUGGCGAUUUGGCUGAAAAUUAAGCGGGUGAGUUUUUUUUUGAAAAUACCGCUUGUCACUUUGAAAUUACUCCCUAUAAUGCGCUCCCACUGACACGGAACAACGGCUUACAGCCCGCCGGGUCAGCGGGAUUCAGCGAUGAAUGCCGGCAGAGAAAAGCGAAAUUAAACGCUUGACUCUGAA